AUUAUAUGACCAAAAAAAAAAAAAAGAAGUCGUCAAAUAUGCAAAUUACAAAAACAGAAUGUUACCUAUCUACAAAGAGAGGGCUGUAUUUGUACAAAAAGGAACAUAACCACUUAAUACACCUCCACAUUCCAUUGUCCUUCCUUUUUCAACUGCUUCUUGUAUGUUACCCAAUCAAUCCCUACCAAAAAACAUACACAAAAAAAAAAAUGAAUUACAAGAAACAAAGAACACAUAUUGAAUGAGGGUAUUUCAGUAAUUUACCAUCUUCAGCAGCCAAUGUACCCAUAAUGUCAUCAAUACCCUUCUCCAUACCCUUAAGCCCACACAUAUACACAAACGUGUUGUCUUUCUUGAGUAAUUCCCAUAGCUCUCUAUCAUAUUGAGCCAUUCUUGUUUGAAUGUACAUCUU
This 412-nucleotide long non-coding RNA is filed under the name Lactuca sativa (garden lettuce). RNAcentral's name for it is "long non-coding RNA (LSAT_LNC002464)". Lineage: Eukaryota; Viridiplantae; Streptophyta; Magnoliopsida; Asterales; Asteraceae. The record is from RNAcentral.